CGCAGGGCGGGCGCGCAUGGCGGCCCCGCUGACAGGGCCGCACAUGUUUACGGGCGGCGCGCUGCCAGCAGGCGGAGAAAUCCGAGGCAAAAGCUGAACAGGAUCGCGGGCGGGAGCAUGGAUCAAGGGCCCUGGGAGGCGGCAGGGCCCUCCCGCGCCCAGGCUGAGCAGUACGAGCGCUGCGGGGGGAGUGGCACUGCGGCUACCCGGGCACCCGCCUGCGCUCGUCUUUAAUGCGACAGCGAACGGCCUGUGCCUGGGGGACAGAAGUCGGUUUUCCGAGCGAGUCACCGUGGUCUGUGUCUGUCCGGCGCUGUGGUGUUUUAUGGGGGAGAGCAGGGUGUGAGAGGCUGGAGGAGGCCAACCAGAUCCCCCGUGUAUGCGUGGGGGAGGUUUUUCCCAAAGCGGACCGAGAAGAUUUACAGUGGAGUUUCAAUGAAAAAAUCAGUCUGAUUUGGUUACACCCUUCCUCCUCCAUACUGCACAGCUGUUCCAGAGCUGCCUUUUGUCCAGCACAGCUUUGAGAGCCUGGACCUGCCACAGUCCCAGGAGAGGAGAGGCAGCACCUGGGGUGUGGAGCAACCUCUGCAGAAGGAGCAAGGCCCCCUCCUGCAGGCCGGCAGCCUGAGAUGCUUCCUCAUUGUCUCCAGGAACCUUUCUAAACCUUUUCCUCUCCCUCCUGCCAAACCAAAGAAACACUUCAUCACUCAGUUAGUAAUAUUUGAAACAAUUAUUGUUAAGCUGACAAUUAAAAGCUUGAUUAUUGGUUCACAGUAUGUGCUUUUACUUUUAUCCACUGAAACAUUAGACCAAUAAGUGUCAAGUCAUCUGUAUCAUAAACUUAAUGCUGGAAAAAAAAUGACCAACAACCUGAAUGCAAAGUUCAAAAAAGGGUGAAUUCUGAGGUUUCAUUAAAGCUAACAGGCAUGUUCUGAUUUGUACAGGCCCAAGUAUACUUCAUUAUUUUCUACAGGAGAUCAUACAGUCCCCAUUUUAUUUUGUGUUCUGCACGCUAGCAUAUAUAAUCCAGUUUAGUGAUAAUGCAUCCAUUGUAGCUAUCACUUACAAUUUUGAUUCUGUUUGUGCCACAAUUAAAACAGAGAGAUACUUGAAAAA
Long non-coding RNA from Rhea pennata, 1116 nucleotides. RefSeq lists it as uncharacterized. The record is from RefSeq and is a predicted model, not a curated record. Lineage: Eukaryota; Metazoa; Chordata; Aves; Rheiformes; Rheidae. The transcript has 3 exons.